This 252-nucleotide ribosomal RNA is filed under the name uncultured bacterium. RNAcentral's name for it is "partial 16S ribosomal RNA". It matches the Rfam family "Bacterial small subunit ribosomal RNA", at positions 524 to 776 of the family's 1533-position model. The record is from RNAcentral.
UACGGAGGGCGCGAGCGUUAUCCGGAUUUAUUGGGUUUAAAGGGUGCGUAGGCGGGAUGCCAAGUCAGCGGUAAAAAUGCGGUGCUCAACGCCGUCGAGCCGUUGAAACUGGCGUUCUUGAGUGGGCGAGAAGUAUGCGGAAUGCGUGGUGUAGCGGUGAAAUGCAUAGAUUUCACGCAGAACUCCGAUUGCGAAGGCGGCAUACCGGCGCCCUACUGACGCUGAGGCACGAAAGCGUGGGUAUCGAACAGG